UGAUCUGAAGUUAAAUAGUUUCGAGCUCCAUCUAAGUUACAUAAAAAACUCAUCUUGGCAUACGAAUUUAAACCUAAGUGCUACAAUUCUAUGUAAAACCCUCUACAUUCUCAAACCAGAGCGAAAAAUAUACCUAAAAGCAUCAAAUAAGCACGAUACGAUCAAUCUACAGUAAUACAACGCAAUUCGACUUACCUCAAUCAUAGACUCUCAGCUUCCAUGGAAAACCGAUGAUCACAUCCUCUGUCUCAUGUGAAAAAGAAAAAACCUUUGUUGCAAUCAAGUCGCCAUCAUAAACUCGAAUCUAGCAUUAGUAUGAUCUUGAGGUAUCAGUCCUCGAUACUUGUCGAAACACUUCUCAGCCUCGUCGUUCUUCUUCAAUGCUGUAUAUAUCAUGCCUUGACACAAGUAAGGCCUAAAAUCCCCUGGCUCCUCAUCUACUAACUCUUGAUAAACCUUCAAUGCUUCAUCAUAUUUACCUCCAAUAACCCAUAUUUGUGCAAGAAUAAGCUUCAAAUCCCUCAACUCACUCUCUUUCUCCUCCUUCUUACACAUGUUAAUCCCCUCCUCGACCUGUUUCUCAAUUUUCUUCAUUUCCUCCACGGACUCAUCUUCCGAUGCAGCCACAACCAGCCCGCGAUACGCCUCUACGUAAUAAGGAUCCUUUAAUAUAACAUCUCUAAAACCCAAUUUAGCUAAUUGAAUCUCCCCACUAUGAACAUACAAGUGAGAUUUCAAGAAACGCCAUUCGAUCUCUUCCGGCUCCAGCUCAAUCAACUUGUUUAUUAUGCUGAGAGCAUCGUCUAAUUCUCUAUUCUUAACACGAUUUUCCAACAAAUUUCUCAAUAUUUCAACAUUUUCAGUUCCCUCCUGUUCUAAAACUUCUUCUUUCACAUUCGUAUCCACGAUUGGCACCGGCGAAACAGGACAACAUAUAGCUUGCUUGGGGUUGAAAUAAAACCCUGUAAAGAAAAGGGCAGUGGCAGUAAUGGUGGAAAUCAAUGUGGGUUUGAGAAAAGAGAGUGGAAUUAAAGAUUUGAGGGGCUCAGAGUUAGAGGUUUUAGAGAGUUUAGUGGAUAAUGGAAAUGGGGAUUUGAAGGAAAGAG
This 1106-nucleotide unclassified non-coding RNA is filed under the name Hevea brasiliensis (rubber tree). The record is from RNAcentral. Lineage: Eukaryota; Viridiplantae; Streptophyta; Magnoliopsida; Malpighiales; Euphorbiaceae.